GGCAAGGUGGCCGAGUGGUUUAAGGCGUCAGAUUUAAGCAGGCUAUCGACUAAACGAUGGCACUUUAGGUCCCUGAUCCGUAAGGAACGCGGGUUCGAAUCCCGUCCUUGUCA
Aspergillus tanneri is the source of this 113-nucleotide non-coding RNA. The record is from the annotation of a RefSeq genome assembly. NCBI's taxonomy places the organism in Eukaryota, Fungi, Ascomycota, Eurotiomycetes, Eurotiales, Aspergillaceae.